UCGCUCACGCUGGGAGCUGUAGACCGGAGCUGUUCCUAUUCGGCCAUCUUGGCUCCUCCCCGCUGGUUUGGUCUUUUCCAAGUUUAUUGGCGUAGUGCUCCUGGACCACCUCAUAUCACCAGCACCCUCUACCCAAGGUCCUGGAGCCAACACUGGAGUAAAAGAGCACAAGAGAACUCCUUAGAGGUGGAAGGACUGGCGCAUCUCAUGAGAGCUAAGCAUGACAGAUAUCAACAGGCGGGCUUCCUAGGAUGAUUUCUCAGCCAACAGUCCAAGACCUUUUGUUGAUUUCAGCCCCACUUAGCCAAGACCUCAAGUAUAAAUUCUGAUAAUUAUGGAGAAAUCAACUGCUAUUUUAUACCGAUUCUGUUAAAAAAAAAAAAGUUUUGUAACUAUUAAAAUAAUUUUCUGAAAAAAAAAGAAAAAUAUAAAAAUUAGCUGGAUGUGGAGGCACAUGCCUGUGGUUCCAGCUACCAGGGGGCUGAGGCAUGAGAAUUCUUGAACCCAGGAGGCAGAGGUUGCAGUGAGCCGAGAUCAUGCCACUGCACUCCAGUCUGGGUGACAGAGGAAGAUUCUGUCUCUUAAAAAAAAUUAAUAUAUCAAUCAUUUUGAAUUGUAAUCUUUCUGUAAUGCUUCCUUUUAACAUUUACAAACAGAGGAAACUAAACUAUUGAAAUUUUGUGAAGUAGUAAAAUUAAGAUUUCAGCUGUGCCCCUUAUCCUGCAAUACUCAUUUGUCAGUGCCUUUAGGACUCAUGUCACAUGGAUUAAACUUAGAGUGAAACACAAAGCCAAAAUUAUGGCCAGG
This 807-nucleotide long non-coding RNA is filed under the name Homo sapiens (human). RNAcentral's name for it is "non-protein coding lnc-CIDEA-2:10". Lineage: Eukaryota; Metazoa; Chordata; Mammalia; Primates; Hominidae. The record is from RNAcentral.